AAAGCUACUCGUAUGCUGGUAGAGAAAAUAAAGCGCGUCAUUCAUGCACUCCAACAAACGAACAAACGAGUUCGGAUUGUGAAUUGAGUGGAACGGCUGUCCAGCAGCAUCCAAGAAGAAGGAGAAGAAACAGGGGUUGUUGAGCGGUCGCUACGCACGCGCCCAAGCCUCUGAGGACAACAGCACCCGGUACGUUUCGCUUCCAGCAGCUCGAGUGUGCUUUCUUUGACUCAGUGCCACGAUUCGUGACCAGAAGAUGCGGAUCGCUAUGGAAUCAGUGUCGUUUCUACGUCGGUAGUCCUUAGCAAACACGAUGAGUUGGAUGAAUGGCUGAGUACGAGUGGGCUUGGGGACUGAAGCGCGCUUCGCUGCCGAGGUCGGUUGACGUGAAACGAGCGCUUUCAACGCGAGCACGAACAUCAUAUAAAAACCCGAGCUGGGGUUUCUGAAUGUUGACGCAACCGCUUGCACACGUGCGAUCGUGACUAUUCGAGUGUUGCUUGCUCGCUUGCUUGCUUAUUUAACGCGUCUGGGGAAGCAUGCGCACUAUACUGCACAGCGAGUGACAGCGACGCAAAGCUGAACCAAGUUUAAGGGUACGCAAAAGUUGCUAUCGUUCAGGAUGCCCAAGUAGCCCCAUACCCGUCAACUACGAUAGCGAGUCGGGUGCUGGUACCGUGACCGGGUGGUCUGCGAGCCGGAACGCUGCCGCAGUCUUCUUUUUGACGGGUAAAAAGGCGUAGAGGAUAUCGUCCGGAUAACGAGAGGCCUGUUGCACUCGAAUGCGCAAAUGUUCCAGAUGAUCGGGAAGCGAGUCGAGUGUCGGUGCAACGCUGGGGCCGGCACUACUGCCGGUGCUGGUGCUGCUGCUGAUGCUGCUGCUGCUGCUGCUGGCUGAGUGAUCGACCAGACAUGCCAGCUGCUCGCGAUAGUGUUGGUGCAGUAGCCAUAGCUUCUUUCCAAAGCGCGCACUGUGCGGAGUCUCGGCAGCCGGGUCGCUCGGCAGGAAUCCGCCGCCCUCGGGAGAGCUUUGCUUCGGCUGGAACGAGAGCCAGCUUCCCCUGGCUAGUGGGGACGCUCGCGGUGCAGCGAUUUGCAUCGACGAUGAACUGGAGUAGGUAUCUCCGGGUGUCGCAUCUGUCGGUGCGCAGGUGACAUAGAUAUUGCCCAGCAAAGAAGCCGACAAGCUCGCGGGCAAGGGGAUUCUCAGGUGGACCGGAUUCCCAGCGUUCGAAUCACUCUCCGAUGCCGAUGCUAAAUGUCCACGGGUAGCUCCGCGCUUACUGCCAGGUAGCUCGACGGAAGCACUAUUCGGAUGCUCCGGUGCUGCCGCUGCGGAACCCGCAGAUGCGACCGUAGGCGAGCGCUCCGACUGACGCGUUGGCGACGACGGGCGCUCGUGCGACUCGAUUCUCUCAUUGCUCGAUGUAGUCUCCGUUUCUUCCCAGUGAUGCGUCACGAGACCCUGACCUGGGGAAGGCGCUCCUGGGUUACGUCCCACGCGCGCUGGUCCACGUGCACGCUUCGCUUCGUGUUCAGAACGCGCUGACUUCCUGGGACUCACUGGGGCACGCUCCACAUGGACGCCAGUCGUUGCUGUUGUCAUGGCGGUGCUUGAGUCGGUUGCGCUACCGCAACCGCUAGUGCCGCGGUUGCCUUCACCGGGGCUCCGCUCCACAUGGACGUUGUGUUGCUCGGCCUCGCGACGGCGCCGACGUUCUUCCUCCGCCUCCAUGCGCUGGAAUUGCUGUAAGAUAUGCUGCAGUUUCCGCUCCUCCCGGCUAAGACUUCCGCCAGGCGACUGUGGAAACAACAAAGAUGGUGUCUGCGGGUCUGUCCGUGACUGCACCGGAGGGCUCAACGCCGGUGUGGUCGUCUUCGGCGCUGUGUGGCGCGAGCGUCUCGGGGAGUUGUGCUCCGUUUCCAGCAGCGCACUCGUCUCUGUUUUUCCACUGCCGCUGUCGAUAUCAUCGGGUUUCUUGCCGUCGACGGAGGACCAUACUGCUGGUCUUCCAUCAUCCGCGCAAUGGUUUGUCAUCGACGACACGUCAGUGCUCUCUGACGUGCGUUGCAUAACCGAUGCAGCGCUGGUGUUCGUUUCCGGCUUGUCGUGAUCAUUCGCAGCGAAUGAACCGGCUGGCGCUGUGGCGGCACUAGCCCCGCUACGACCACUUGUGCUCUUGCUGUCCGUACUGUUUGCUUUCUCUGUCGCCGGUCGCUUUCCCCGAGAGCUUUUCUUCUUCUUUGACGGUUCGGUCGCACUGCUUACGUAAAUAACGCAUUGCUGACGAACAAGAUCCGGGCGACACAAUUCGCAGAAAUACUGAUCAGGCGCAUCUGCCGCGCGGCGAAUACCCAUGCAUUUUCCGUGCUGCCAGACACCGCAAGACUCGCAGGCCAGCAUAAA
Molecule: RNA transcript, 2407 nt
Organism: Cyanidioschyzon merolae strain 10D
Lineage: Eukaryota; Rhodophyta; Bangiophyceae; Cyanidiales; Cyanidiaceae
Exons: 1
Source: RefSeq, a predicted model, not a curated record